UUUCCGAAGGUCAAAUGAUGUAGCAUGGCCGGCCAAGCAAUUUAAGUACGAGUACGUAGUUUAGUACAUGUUGCAAUGAUAUGAGUUCUAUAAUAGUGGAGUACUCCGUUUCUGCAUGUUACCCAGGUACUUAAAUACUAACUGACCAGUAGCUCCUUCCAUUCAAUCUUGUAGUAUAUCACUUGAAAGUGACAACAGCUGUUAUCUAAUUGUUUUCAAACGUUUGCUCUAUUUCCUGAAGCAACUGAAC
RNAcentral lists this long non-coding RNA (250 nucleotides) under Hordeum vulgare. Its description in RNAcentral is "long non-coding RNA (HVUL_LNC013194)". Lineage: Eukaryota; Viridiplantae; Streptophyta; Magnoliopsida; Poales; Poaceae. The record is from RNAcentral.